This 416-nucleotide ribosomal RNA is filed under the name Russula sp. 322-288. RNAcentral describes it as "eukaryotic LSU rRNA". The stretch from base 1 to 105 matches the Rfam family "5.8S ribosomal RNA", at positions 50 to 154 of the family's 154-position model. The record is from RNAcentral. Lineage: Eukaryota; Fungi; Basidiomycota; Agaricomycetes; Russulales; Russulaceae.
GAAAUGCGAUACGUAAUGUGAAUUGCAGAAUUCAGUGAAUCAUCGAAUCUUUGAACGCACCUUGCGCCCCUUGGCAUUCCGAGGGGCACACCCGUUUGAGUGUCGUGAAAUUCUCAAAAAACCUUUUCCUGCUUUUGCUGGAAAGGAUUUUUGGACUUGGAGGUUCAAUGCCUGCUUUUCACCUUUGAAAAGCAAGCUCCUCUCAAAUAAAUUAGCGGGGUCUGCUUUGCCGAUCCUUGACGUGAUAAGAUGUUUCUACGUUUUGGAUUUGGCACUGUCCCUUUGGACACCUGCUCCUAACUGUCCCACGGACAAUGAUGGUGCUCUGGUCUUUGCCGUCUACACUGGCGGGGGAGGCUGGACCCACAAAAGAAAACCUUGACCUCAAAUCGGGUGAGACUACCCGCUGAACUUAA